This 239-nucleotide ribosomal RNA is filed under the name uncultured bacterium. Its description in RNAcentral is "partial 16S ribosomal RNA". It matches the Rfam family "Bacterial small subunit ribosomal RNA", at positions 796 to 1041 of the family's 1533-position model. The record is from RNAcentral.
CACGCCGUAAACGUUGAGAACUAAGUGUUGGGGAGACCCAGUGCUGAAGCUAACGCAUUAAGUUCUCCGCCUGAGGAGUACGCACGCAAGUGUAAAACUUAAAGGAAUUGACGGGGGCCCGCACAAGCAGUGGAGCAUGUGGUUUAAUUCGAGGCUACGCGAAGAACCUUACCAGGGCUUGACAUCCUCGGACGACACUAGAGAUAGUGUUUUCUCUUCGGAGACUGAGAGACAGGUGG